Salvia hispanica is the source of this 381-nucleotide long non-coding RNA. RefSeq lists it as uncharacterized. Lineage: Eukaryota; Viridiplantae; Streptophyta; Magnoliopsida; Lamiales; Lamiaceae. The record is from RefSeq and is a predicted model, not a curated record.
UGCAGGUGAAUUCAUCACCUAAAGAGUGAAAUUGAUCGCCAUGAGAAAUGAAAAGCUCUGUAAACUGGUUUUGCAAUCAUGAAUCUUCUACUAUCUACUUUUGCUUCCGAUUUAUAAAACUAAUCAUUUUUAUGCUUUUGCAGGUAUUGUAGGUUAAAUGAUACGAAUGACAGGAAAAGCAAUAUGAACUGAGUUUUCCAGGUAGUUUGUUCUCACAGAAAGCUUCUUGGCAUCAUUCACAUAAUCGAAAAGAAGAGCAUCAUUUACACAGUUGUCUUUAAGCCAACAGUCUGUAGAAAAAAAUUAUGAUUUAUUCAAUGAGUAGCAUAAUCUGUUGCUAGCCUGCUAUGAAAUUCUAUUUCAGAAUUUGUAUAUAUAUCA